GUUCAUGUACAAGAUCGGAUCUUUGGUGUUGCAGCUCUUGAAGUUGGAAGCUGUCACUUGAAUCAUUGAAUCUUCGCUUGGUGGGUACAAGAACACUGUUUCAGAUUAAUGAGUUUAGAUAUCUUGUUUAAUAAUAAAUUCAUGAAUUGAAUUGAAUACUUUUUUUACUUACAGAGGGAGUCACCGAUCUUGAAAGAGUGAGAUUUGGGCCAUUUCGUGUAUACUUUAGCAUCAGUCGGGAUACCCCAUGAGUCCAAGUCCCCAACUUUGUACUGCGUCGAAGACACUUGCACUAGCAGUAUCAUCACCAAAACCGUUACGCU
Molecule: long non-coding RNA, 323 nt
Filed under: Brassica rapa (field mustard)
Lineage: Eukaryota; Viridiplantae; Streptophyta; Magnoliopsida; Brassicales; Brassicaceae
Description: long non-coding RNA (BRAP_LNC006421)
Source: RNAcentral